Molecule: ribosomal RNA, 509 nt
Filed under: Bacillus sp. PHWG-67
Lineage: Bacteria; Bacillati; Bacillota; Bacilli; Caryophanales; Bacillaceae
Description: bacterial SSU rRNA
Rfam family: Bacterial small subunit ribosomal RNA
Source: RNAcentral
CUGAGUUUUGAUCCUGGCUCAGGACGAACGCUGGCGGCGUGCCUAAUACAUGCAAGUCGAGCGGACAGAUGGGAGCUUGCUCCCUGAUGUUAGCGGCGGACGGGUGAGUAACACGUGGGUAACCUGCCUGUAAGACUGGGAUAACUCCGGGAAACCGGGGCUAAUACCGGAUGGUUGUUUGAACCGCAUGGUUCAAACAUAAAAGGUGGCUUCGGCUACCACUUACAGAUGGACCCGCGGCGCAUUAGCUAGUUGGUGAGGUAACGGCUCACCAAGGCAACGAUGCGUAGCCGACCUGAGAGGGUGAUCGGCCACACUGGGACUGAGACACGGCCCAGACUCCUACGGGAGGCAGCAGUAGGGAAUCUUCCGCAAUGGACGAAAGUCUGACGGAGCAACGCCGCGUGAGUGAUGAAGGUUUUCGGAUCGUAAAGCUCUGUUGUUAGGGAAGAACAAGUACCGUUCGAAUAGGGCGGUACCUUGACGGUACCUAACCAGAAAGCCACGGC